CCUACGGGAGACAGCAGUGAGGAAUAUUGGUCAAUGGGCGAGAGCCUGAACCAGCCAAGUCGCGUGAGGGAGUACUGCCCUAUGGGUUGUAAACUUCUUUUGUCGGGGAGCAAAAUCCGGACGUGUCCGGCUGUUAGAGUACCCGAAUAUAAAGCGUCGGCUAACUCCGUGCCCGCAGCCGCGGUAAUACGGAGGAGGCGGGGGGUAUCCGGAUUUAUUGGGUUUAAAGGGUGCGCAGGCGGAUUGUUAAGCCAGCGGUAAAAGCGUGGGGCUUAACCCCAUCCAGCCGUGGAAACUGGGGAUCUGGAGUGUGCGAGAGGUAUGCGGAAUGCGUGGUGUAGCGGUGAAAUGCAUAGAUAUCACGCAGAACCCCGAUGGCGAAGGCAGAAUACCGGUGCGCAACUGACGCUCAGGCACGAAAGCGUGGGUAUCGAACAGGAUUAGAUACCCGGGUAGUC
RNAcentral lists this ribosomal RNA (458 nucleotides) under uncultured bacterium. Its description in RNAcentral is "partial 16S ribosomal RNA". It matches the Rfam family "Bacterial small subunit ribosomal RNA", at positions 338 to 795 of the family's 1533-position model. The record is from RNAcentral.